AUACGUAGGGGGCGAGCGUUGUCCGGAAUGAUUGGGCGUAAAGGGCGCGUAGGCGGCCCGGUAAGUCUGGAGUGAAAGUCCUGUUUUUAAGAUGGGAAUUGCUUUGGAUACUGUCGGGCUUGAGUGCAGGAGAGGUAAGUGGAAUUCCCAGUGUAGCGGUGAAAUGCGUAGAGAUUGGGAGGAACACCAGUGGCGAAGGCGACUUACUGGACUGUAACUGACGCUGAGGCGCGAAAUCGUGGGGAGCAAACAGGAUUAGAUACCCGGGUAGUCCACGCCGUAAACGAUGAAUACUAGGUGUAGGGGGUAUCGACUCCCUCUGUGCCGCAGUUAACACAAUAAGUAUUCCGCCUGGGGAGUACGGCCGCAAGGUUGAAACUCAAAGGAAUUGACGGGG
RNAcentral lists this ribosomal RNA (397 nucleotides) under uncultured bacterium. Its description in RNAcentral is "partial 16S ribosomal RNA". It matches the Rfam family "Bacterial small subunit ribosomal RNA", at positions 523 to 918 of the family's 1533-position model. The record is from RNAcentral.